GUCACUAAUUCUCAGCAGUUUGACCAGUUAUGUGUCCCUCCAGGAACUGCUGCCCAUUGGAACCAAGUUUCUCUGACCAAAGCUCACAACCCAGGGGUGUGAGCAUAGGUGAUCAGAACACCAACCCACGGGCGUGAGCAUAGGCGUGAGCAUAGGUAGGUGAUUGGAAGGCGAUUUGAUGGGCAAUUGCAUCUAUUUAGUGAAACCGCAGUAGCUUUGCCAGCAGGGCCUAUGACUCCCUCAGGCAAGAGAUCUGAAGUCCCUUACGAAGGCUGCGUUUCCCAGCUGUGUUUCAGCACACACACAGCCAUUGUGAGUGCUCACAGCAAGUGAGACAUGAAAAGAGGUCACUGUGAACUUUUAAGCCAUCUUGUUCCUAGGAAAAGUGUUUUUAGUUGUGAACUCAACUAUUCUUGCUGCGGCUGGCCGGGUUCUCAGGUGACACCAAGAUUCCUGCCCACCACACCCUGCCCUGUGUGAUCUUCUCCCUUUGGGCAUGGGUGUCCUGACCUCAUCAGAAAGCCAGAGGCUAUGGAUUUGUUCCAGAUUAAGAUACAUCAGGUUUGACCAGCCAAGACCACCCGAUAACACCAAGGCCCAGAUGAUCCAACAUCCAGAACCGUUUCAAGGCAACUAGCUCAGACGAUACACCCUCACAGACUACUCCAUAAUCCUAAAAUUUUCUUUGUGUCCCCAUAAGAUACAGCGCCCCCCUCCAGCAGGAAGUAGUAAGAGAAGCUACACCCAAAUUCCCAAAUAUACCAAGCUGACUUUGGAGAUGUGUAAAAGUUAAAACCUUCCUUUUUUUCAAAAAAAAAAAGGGGGGGGAGUGCUGUGGGAUGGUCUGUAUGUCAAAUGCUCUGAUUGGUCAAUAAAUAAAACACUAAUUGGCCAGUGGCCAGGCAGGAAGUAUAGGCAGGAUUAACAGAGAGGAGAACUGAGAGAACAGGAAGGUGGGAGGAGACACUGCCAGCCGCUGCCAUGACAAGCUGCAUGUGAAGACGCCAGUAAGCUACGAGCCACGUGGCAAGGUAUAGAUUUAUAGAAAUGGAUUAAUUUAAGAUAUAAGAACAGUUAGCAAGAAGCCUGCCACGGCCAUACAGUUUGUAAGCAAUAUAAGACUCUGUGUUUACUUGGUUGGGUCUGAGUGGCUGUGGGACUGGCAGGUGAGAGAGAUUUGUCCUGACUGGGCCGGGCAGGAAAACUCUAGCUACAUUGAGGUUUAAACUCUUCUUUAGUAACUGAUGCAUAUUAUUUCUGCCUCCUGUCUUAGUUGCCCAACAAUGUAUUUUAGAUAGAUAUAACUUGACCUAUGGAUGUGACUUUGGUUCACUUAUUCUGGUUUGCUGAAUAGUCUGCUGAGUGAAGAUUUCCAGGUCUUUCCACCAUAAUUAUAGAUUGACAGUUUGUACAGCCAUUUUAUAUAUUUUGAUGCUAUUUAUUAGAUGUUUAUGGUCAAUAUACCUACUUGAUAGACUACCAGAUAGAAUAUUCUAACGAUAUGAAUAUUUCUUUUGUUGGUUAAUUUUGAUUGUCAGUCACCUAGGAGACACACCUCUGGAUAUGUUUGUGAGGGCAUUUCUAGGAAGGACUGGCAUCAGGAGAGAGGGAACCUAUCUCAAAACAGGCAUCUUGGAACAGGCAGCUCCGAGUUCUGAGGAGCAGGCAGUGUCCCUGAGCAAGUGUGUCUGCUGUGUUGUCUCCCUCCUCUACUGACAUCAGAUUCCAGCUUCUUUGGCCUUCCAACCUGUUCUCAACAGUAGUGACUCUCCAGGGAGCUUUUGGACUUUCAUCACUGGACUGGGACUGCUGAGACAUUCAGCCUCUGGAAUGAGAAACUACAGUUCUUAACCUCUGAAGCUUGCAGACCAUCAUUGUUAGGUUGCCCAGCCCCUACAGUGUAAGAUAUUCUAAUAAAUCACCUCUUAUAAAAUAUAUUCACAUUUUAUUGGUUGUGUUCCCUCAGAUCCCCAUCUAAUAGAGUCUUCUUUGUGCUUUUUAAAAUUGCUUUCCAUCUUAAAUUCUCAUUUAUUCACAUUGUUUAU
This is a long non-coding RNA of Peromyscus eremicus (cactus mouse), 2045 nucleotides long. RefSeq lists it as uncharacterized. NCBI's taxonomy places the organism in Eukaryota, Metazoa, Chordata, Mammalia, Rodentia, Cricetidae. The transcript has 3 exons. The record is from RefSeq and is a predicted model, not a curated record.